This 460-nucleotide ribosomal RNA is filed under the name uncultured bacterium. Its description in RNAcentral is "partial 16S ribosomal RNA". It matches the Rfam family "Bacterial small subunit ribosomal RNA", at positions 338 to 795 of the family's 1533-position model. The record is from RNAcentral.
CCUACGGGAGGCAGCAGUGAGGAAUAUUGGUCAAUGGACGCAAGUCUGAACCAGCCAUGCCGCGUGCAGGAAGACGGCUCUAUGAGUUGUAAACUGCUUUUGUACGAGGGUAAACGCAGAUAGGUGUAUCGGUCUGAAAGUCUCGUACGAAUAAGGAUCGGCUAACUCCUUGCCAGCAGCCGCGGUAAUACGGAGGAUUCAAGCGUUAUCCGGUUUUAUUGGGUUUAAAGGGUGCGUAGGCGGUCGGAUAAGUUAGAGGUGAAAUCCCGAGGCUCAACUUCGGAAUUGCCUCUGAUACUGUCCGGCUAGAGAGUAGUAGCGGUAGGCGGAAUGUAUGGUGUAGCGGUGAAAUGCUUAGAGAUCAUACAGAACACCGAUUGCGAAGGCAGCUUACCAAGCUACUUCUGACGUUGAGGCACGAAAGCGUGGGGAGCAAACAGGAUUAGAUACCCCUGUAGUC